GACGAACGCUGGCGGCGUGCUUAACACAUGCAAGUCGAACGGAAAGGCCCUGCUUUUGUGGGGUGCUCGAGUGGCGAACGGGUGAGUAACACGUGAGUAACCUGCCCUUGACUUUGGGAUAACUUCAGGAAACUGGGGCUAAUACCGGAUAGGAGCUCCUGCUGCAUGGUGGGGGUUGGAAAGUUUCGGCGGUUGGGGAUGGACUCGCGGCUUAUCAGCUUGUUGGUGGGGUAGUGGCUUACCAAGGCUUUGACGGGUAGCCGGCCUGAGAGGGUGACCGGCAACAUGGGGAUGGAGAUAGGCCCCGGCCUCCAACGGGGGGCAGCGGGGGGAAAUAUGGCACAAGGGGGGGAGGCGGGAGGCAGCACCGCCGGGGGGGGGAGGAGGGCUUGGGGUUUGAAACCCGGUUCCGCCUGUGACGAGGCGUGGGUGAGGGAAAGGGGUAAAGAAGCCCCGGCGGACUACGUG
Molecule: ribosomal RNA, 468 nt
Filed under: uncultured bacterium
Lineage: Bacteria
Description: partial 16S ribosomal RNA
Rfam family: Bacterial small subunit ribosomal RNA
Source: RNAcentral